GUUUGCCACCGAAUCAAUUUCAUGCCACAAAUAAGUUGACGGGAGUACAAGGAUUAUUUUGUCGAUCCCAAAAACAUGUUUCAACUACAUACUGUGUAUAACACCCAAUGCAUAGUAUACAUGGAAGAUUUUUUUUGUUGUUGUCAGUUUUGCACCAUUCAGUCAGUCUCAACCAGUGCAGAACUUUUAAAACUCCAAACCGUGAAGCGGCACUGAACGCACACGUGCCAACCCGCGUGCAACAAAAUCUCAUCACGCCGUAUACAUUGCGAAUCACAUCCGCCACUCGGCCUCAAUCACCGCUGAUGUGCGGCAAGUGGUGAGUCAUUAAGAUUUAAGCCCCGUCCCGGGCUGCCAUGUCCGACAUGUGUUUGUGCGCCCUCUCAGCGGCUGUCGCCCAGCGUUAAGCUCCACUUAGAUGAGAUGAGUGCUUAUUAUGGCAAACUCCUUCAUCUGGAAGCGGGAGGGAAGGUGCCGUCUUUGCACCUGAACGUCUCACCGGCAGCAUACAGGAAAUAUAAUCGACCAAACCCGCUUAUGAUGUUCAAUUUGGAGCUCUCAAUUGAAACGCAAGUUUUAUGGCUGUGUGUUUCUAAUCAUAGUGUGCAACAAGAAUGAUUUAUUUCUCAAAGUCGCAACCUGGUGUCCUUGUCCCUCGAGGAUCUGCCCGAUGGCCUCCAGCAGCGAGUCACAUCAUCACGAGCUCGCAUAAUUACAUAUUUACUUGCUCAGCAUUCAUCUUCUCCGCCCGCCACGGCUUUGGGCAGAACAGACUGACUAGCAUUGAUUCAGCUGCCCCUGGACGACGCUUUGUUUGCCCCAUUAAGCUCGUUUGUGCGCUGGUGGUCUGCCAGUGCAGCCUUGUAAUCGAUGUCAACUUACUGCUCCGUCCAUCUGUUGAUUUGCCUCCAGCCUCUCAGUUGAUGGUUUCCUCCCAUGUGUUGUCCCAUCCUGAGGCCAGGAAACUUGCCUUCAGCCUGGGGUGGCUUACUAGGGAGAUACUCAGUCAUUCAGGUCAGGCUGAAGUCAAGAACCCAUGAUUUCUGACAGACACUACAUUUCCAUAAACUGGAAGGCAGAUUUCACUUCCAGAUAUCCUGGAUUAUUUCGAAGUUUCACUUUUACCGUGCACUGAUUGGAGUCACCUCGUGCCUGAUGAAGCAAAGCAGCCCCAGAAAAUAACACCUCUGUGCGAUAGUCCGAUGUGAUUGAUCCCAAAACUCUGUCCAAGGCUUUGUAACUCGCAAGAUUGUAGUUGUCAGUUUCAAGUGAUUUCAUUGAAGUUUUAUUUUUUUAACAUACAGACAGUUUUGAUUGUGUAUGAAACGCCUUUAACAUUACAAUGCACUUCAUAUCCUGGCCAUUACUUUUUUUUUUUUUUUUUUUAUGGACUGUUGUUCGUAUAGUGAUUUACAAAGUGCGCCAAAGACUGAAUGAAGCCAUUUUAUUAGAAGCUCAGUUUAUGAACAGAGGGACUUUUUCAGCAUCACCAAAAAGUUGGAAAGUCUUGCAUGUUGUGAUAGUGUUACCUGACAAUGAGGGUCAUGGCGUGCUUGCGAUUUGCGUGAGUCAUUGGCAAAAUCAUCUUAACCCCCCCCCCCAAAAAAAAAAAAACCUCUCUUACCCUGCCAACGUUGCACUGAUGCCAACACCGGUCACCAGCAGCGCUCGCACGUCUUGCCUUCAUCAACAUGAUGGACGCGCUCCUGAGUCAGUGGCAGUAACGCAACACACACGCCAAUGAAUCAGAUGAGAAGCAGGGAGAGGGAAAAAAAAAAAAAAACCCAC
Molecule: long non-coding RNA, 1788 nt
Organism: Hippocampus comes (tiger tail seahorse)
Lineage: Eukaryota; Metazoa; Chordata; Actinopteri; Syngnathiformes; Syngnathidae
Exons: 2
Source: RefSeq, a predicted model, not a curated record